UAAUACGUAGGGUACGAGCGUUGUCCGGAAUUAUUGGGCGUAAAGAGCUCGUAGGUGGUUGGUCACGUCUGCUGUGGAAACGCAACGCUUAACGUUGCGCGUGCAGUGGGUACGGGCUGACUAGAGUGCAGUAGGGGAGUCUGGAAUUCCUGGUGUAGCGGUGAAAUGCGCAGAUAUCAGGAGGAACACCGGUGGCGAAGGCGGGACUCUGGGCUGUAACUGACACUGAGGAGCGAAAGCAUGGGGAGCGAACAGG
This 256-nucleotide ribosomal RNA is filed under the name uncultured bacterium. Its description in RNAcentral is "partial 16S ribosomal RNA". It matches the Rfam family "Bacterial small subunit ribosomal RNA", at positions 521 to 776 of the family's 1533-position model. The record is from RNAcentral.